UGAAGAAAAGUAUAUUUCACUUCAGAGCAAGAUUUUAUGAAAUUUCCCUUUUUACUGCAGCUGUCACAUUGUCCUGUGUGCCCUAGAAACCCUCACCCCUUGUCCUGCCUGAUACACGGGUGUCCUGAAAGGUGGCAAGCUUGGCUCUGCUGUGCAGGGCUCUAUGGAUCAGUUCCAACACCUGUGAUUGCACCAAUGUAAACAGGAAAGUGAUGUGAUCCCUGGAGCUGGGAAAUUGGCUGCACCCCCAUCUGAUUCAUCCUGGAUUCCUUGCAAGCUGGCCUCAGACCUGGAGAUGCAACUGGUGGCGGUGGUGGAUGAUCUUACAGCUACGCACGGAGGCAGGUUAGUUCUAGCGAUGAGUAGCGUUACUAAACCAGGCCUGAGUCCUGAGUAGGUGCCAGCUCUCUGCAUUGCUCACCCGGAAAUGGGUCUCUUCAGUUAAAUACGGUAAAGUGUGCGGCUCAGGCUCAUUCUGUGAUUCGUCAGCCGAAGGCAAUUCAGCUGGUUCCCUGGUUUCUUCGCUGCACCCAGCAACACCAAGAGACGAUGCUCCCCAACGCCGUUGUUACGAAUAGCCACACAGAACACAGCACCACAGCAGCG
Chelonia mydas (Green sea turtle) is the source of this 606-nucleotide long non-coding RNA. RefSeq lists it as uncharacterized. The record is from RefSeq and is a predicted model, not a curated record. The transcript has 3 exons. NCBI's taxonomy places the organism in Eukaryota, Metazoa, Chordata, Testudines, Cheloniidae.